UACGAAGGGGGCUAGCGUUGCUCGGAAUCACUGGGCGUAAAGGGUGCGUAGGCGGGUCUUUUAAGUCAGGGGUGAAAUCCUGGAGCUCAACUCCAGAACUGCCUUUGAUACUGAAGAUCUUGAGUUCGGGAGAGGUGAGUGGAACUGCGAGUGUAGAGGUGAAAUUCGUAGAUAUUCGCAAGAACACCAGUGGCGAAGGCGGCUCACUGGCCCGAUACUGACGCUGAGGCACGAAAAGCGUGGGGAGCAAACAGGG
This 256-nucleotide ribosomal RNA is filed under the name uncultured bacterium. RNAcentral describes it as "partial 16S ribosomal RNA". It matches the Rfam family "Bacterial small subunit ribosomal RNA", at positions 524 to 777 of the family's 1533-position model. The record is from RNAcentral.